This 376-nucleotide ribosomal RNA is filed under the name uncultured bacterium. Its description in RNAcentral is "bacterial SSU rRNA". It matches the Rfam family "Bacterial small subunit ribosomal RNA", at positions 521 to 896 of the family's 1533-position model. The record is from RNAcentral.
UAAUACGUAGGGGGCAAGCGUUAUCCGGAUUUACUGGGUGUAAAGGGAGCGUAGACGGUUUUGCAAGUCUGAAGUGAAAGCCCGGGGCUUAACCCCGGGACUGCUUUGGAAACUGUAGGACUAGAGUGCAGGAGAGGUAAGUGGAAUUCCUAGUGUAGCGGUGAAAUGCGUAGAUAUUAGGAGGAACACCAGUGGCGAAGGCGGCUUACUGGACUGUAACUGACGUUGAGGCUCGAAAGCGUGGGGAGCAAACAGGAUUAGAUACCCUGGUAGUCCACGCCGUAAACGAUGAUUACUAGGUGUUGGUGGGUAUGACCCAUCGGUGCCGCAGCAAACGCAAUAAGUAAUCCACCUGGGGAGUACGUUCGCAAGAAUG